This 342-nucleotide ribosomal RNA is filed under the name uncultured Bacillota bacterium. RNAcentral describes it as "bacterial SSU rRNA". It matches the Rfam family "Bacterial small subunit ribosomal RNA", at positions 202 to 524 of the family's 1533-position model. Lineage: Bacteria; Bacillati; Bacillota. The record is from RNAcentral.
UGUUCUGCUAUCACUCUUGGAUGGACCUGCGGUGCAUUAGCUAGUUGGUAGGGGUAACGGGCCUACCAAGGCGAUGAUGCAUAGCCCGAGUUGAGAGGCUGAUCGGGCCACAUUGGGACUGAGACACGGGCCCAAACUCCUACGGGAGGCAGCAGUAGGGGGAAUCUUCCACAAUGGACGCAAAGUCUGAUGGAGCAAAACGCCGCGUGAGUGAAGAAGGGUUUCGGCUCGUAAAAGCUCUGUUGUUGGUGAAGAAGGACAGGGGUAGUAACUGACCCUUUGUUUGACGGUAAUCAAUUUAGAAAGUCACGGGCUAACUACGUGCCCAGCAGCCGCGGUAAA